AUGACGUCAAGUCAUCAUGGCCCUUACGAGUAGGGCUACACACGUGCUACAAUGGCAUAUACAAAGAGAAGCGAACUCGCGAGAGCAAGCGGACCUCAUAAAGUAUGUCGUAGUCCGGAUUGGAGUCUGCAACUCGACUCCAUGAAGUCGGAAUCGCUAGUAAUCGUGGAUCAGCAUGCCACGGUGAAUACGUUCCCGGGCCCUU
Molecule: ribosomal RNA, 205 nt
Filed under: uncultured Enterobacteriaceae bacterium
Lineage: Bacteria; Pseudomonadati; Pseudomonadota; Gammaproteobacteria; Enterobacterales; Enterobacteriaceae
Description: partial 16S ribosomal RNA
Rfam family: Bacterial small subunit ribosomal RNA
Source: RNAcentral